This 397-nucleotide ribosomal RNA is filed under the name uncultured bacterium. RNAcentral describes it as "bacterial SSU rRNA". It matches the Rfam family "Bacterial small subunit ribosomal RNA", at positions 585 to 985 of the family's 1533-position model. The record is from RNAcentral.
AAGUGUGUUGUGAAAUGUAGACGCUCAACGUCUGACUUGCAGCGCAUACUGGUUUCCUUGAGUACGCACAACGUUGGCGGAAUUCGUCGUGUAGCGGUGAAAUGCUUAGAUAUGACGAAGAACUCCGAUUGCGAAGGCAGCUGACGGGAGCGCAACUGACGCUUAAGCUCGAAGGUGCGGGUAUCAAACAGGAUUAGAUACCCUGGUAGUCCGCACAGUAAACGAUGGAUGCCCGCUGUUGGUACCUGGUAUCAGCGGCUAAGCGAAAGCAUUAAGCAUCCCACCUGGGGAGUACGCCGGCAACGGUGAAACUCAAAGGAAUUGACGGGGGCCCGCACAAGCGGAGGAACAUGUGGUUUAAUUCGAUGAUACGCGAGGAACCUUACCCGGGCUUGAA